UAGGUGGUGGUGUUCUGUUUUGUACAUUUUCUCUUUGCUGCUACGCAAAGACAACAUUAACUAUGAUAAAGAUGGAAGAUGCUAAGCCUGAAGUUUCAGCUUCCAACAAUUCAAAUUCCAAGAGCAGUGAUUCUGGUCUUCUCCAAGAUUGAUUUACUGAUUUGUGCAAGGCAAGCGAACACCGAUGUACAGAGGUGAUUGCUCAAGUGCCAGAAUAUACCAGGCAGUUUCUUAGGCAACUUGAAACUGUGCAGGUAAAUGCAGAGUUCAAUGCCUUUAUAAAGCAUAUUCUUAGCUUUUAAUACAUUUUCAAUCUGGUCUUUAAUUUGUUUCAGUUAGGCUCAUGAAGUUUGAUUACUCUUCAUUUUCAAUUGUACCAUUUAGGCUCAUAAAGUGGUUCAAAUACCUCCAAGAGCCUGAUUCACCCAUUUUAUACUUUUCAUGUAACACUUCUUUAAAAAAGCUAAAACAUCUUUCAUUGUAAAUAAAUUUAACGGUUAUGGUUAGCUUCCAUACAGUAUGUUGUAUGUUUCGGGAUAUCUCUGCAUCUUAAUUUAUGCUCUCAGGUUGCUGAAAGUUUGUAAUUUUACUUGCUACUUGAUUAUAAAAAUGUAAAACAAAAUCUGUAUGUGAUUUACAAAUUUGUAUUUGAUUUUAGACGUUUUUCCAGUGUAAGGCAUAUGUUGCACAUGCAUGUAAAUGGUACAAAUUGUUUUCGUUUUGGACAAUAAGCUUUUGAGUUUUACAACCCUUGCAAGGGGAUUGUGACUCCAACAAAUUUAGUGUUGGGGGAUACAGUUUGAUUCUCCUUAAUA
Molecule: non-coding RNA, 815 nt
Organism: Malus domestica (apple)
Lineage: Eukaryota; Viridiplantae; Streptophyta; Magnoliopsida; Rosales; Rosaceae
Source: RefSeq, a predicted model, not a curated record